CGAUUGUGCGCGCCACGUUUGCAGAGAAGAGGAAUUAGAUAGUUGCCAGAAUCUGGAAUUCUAAGCGUGCGUACAUAACCUAUACUUUUCCUAAUUUAUAUAACAUUACAUUUGUACGUGUUAUUUUUAUAUUUUGAAUGAAGAUCUUGAAUGAGAAUGUUAUUGUAGUUUUGAUCUUAAUUAUUUGUUAAUUCAAAGACUUCGGAUUACGUGGAUGUACAUGAAAUUAUGCAAAGUUUGAAAUCGUUAAUAUUGAUGUUGUGUGUACAUGGAAGAUCGAUCGUUUAAUAAAUCGAAAGUUUAUUGAAAGCUAAAAUUACUGUAUAUUAUGAAUCAGUCACAGAAUAACACAACAGAGCAACAAUGUGUCAUUGUUUUUUCUAUGCCGUUUGACAUUUUAAGAGAAGAACUUAAGCUCGAUGAAGAAUUCGUCGAAAAACAAUGGCGGCGGCAUUCAAGCCGCAUGUGUUCAGACCAUGUGAUUUACACCGGUCUCCGGGCCAUGCAUCCACCGGCUGGAAUUAAAUUACUUUCUACGGGGCGUUCGCCUUUCAUGAAAUCGACGCGAUCCCUUAACAGCGGCAAACUUAUUAUCAACGAUACACACCGGACGUCCGUUUCAUUAAACCGCGCCUAAGAACUUGACGUGGGUAAAACGCGGGCUUAUUUCAGAUCGUCUGGGCAAUAAUUAAGCAUAAUUAAUGUCUCGAGUAAUUGGACAGGGAGAUGCUGACCAAAGGAGGUUCCCAAAAUCAGGAUAAAAGGCCCCCAUCUGGUUUGAAAUGAGGAAAUGUUCUCCUUUGGGAAUUUUGUAAAAUUAAUCGGUUAACGGAAAUACAAAAAGAGAGGAUAAAGAGAAACCAUGGAGAGUGAAUACAUUGAAAAUCACAGUGCAAGGCAGUAAAUUGUUAAAUUGGAUAAAACUAGCUCGUAUAGGACUUCACUCGUCAUCAAAGAAACCUCGCAUGCUACGGUAUCCUACACAACCAAGUAUUCACGGAACGAGGAAAAACGCGUUUUCCCCGAGCAGCCAGCUGGCUUUCAUUUGCCUGUAACGGGAAGUGAACGACGUAAUAGGAACUGGAGGAAUCCAGCAACGAUGAACUGCAAGGUCAAUGAUUUUCCGAGCAGACCGAUGAACUUGCCUUGCGCAUAAGUACAUACGUGCACUACAGAAGAUACCAAUACUGGAGAGCAAGUGAGAAAGAAAGAGAUAGAGAACGAGAGGAGGCAAGGUCGUUGCCUAGAUAACAGUUGGAAGAAUAUAUUACGAAUUGGUUGGAAAUAGUUUAAAGGAAAUUUCAAUUGGACAAAGAAAAUUUUUUCAAGGUAAUUAUAAA
Apis florea (little honeybee) is the source of this 1340-nucleotide unclassified non-coding RNA. Lineage: Eukaryota; Metazoa; Arthropoda; Insecta; Hymenoptera; Apidae. The record is from RefSeq and is a predicted model, not a curated record.